RNAcentral lists this ribosomal RNA (149 nucleotides) under Bacillus amyloliquefaciens. Its description in RNAcentral is "partial 16S ribosomal RNA". It matches the Rfam family "Bacterial small subunit ribosomal RNA", at positions 1 to 146 of the family's 1533-position model. RNAcentral also lists the same sequence under 4 other names. The record is from RNAcentral. Lineage: Bacteria; Bacillati; Bacillota; Bacilli; Caryophanales; Bacillaceae.
UUAUCGGAGAGUUUGAUCCUGGCUCAGGACGAACGCUGGCGGCGUGCCUAAUACAUGCAAGUCGAGCGGACAGAUGGGAGCUUGCUCCCUGAUGUUAGCGGCGGACGGGUGAGUAACACGUGGGUAACCUGCCUGUAAGACUGGGAUAA